Molecule: ribosomal RNA, 488 nt
Filed under: uncultured bacterium
Lineage: Bacteria
Description: SSU rRNA
Rfam family: Bacterial small subunit ribosomal RNA
Source: RNAcentral
AGGACGAACGCUGGCGGCGUGCUUAACACAUGCAAGUCGAACGGGCCUGUGGCACUUGUGUCGCGGGUUAGUGGCGAACGGGUGAGUAACACGUGAGUAACCUGCCCCAGACUCUGGGAUAACUCCGGGAAACCGGUGCUAAUACUGGAUAUGACAUCAAGCCGCAUGGUUAUGGUGUGGAAAGUUUUUCGGUCUGGGAUGGGCUCGCGGCCUAUCAGCUUGUUGGUGAGGUAGUGGCUCACCAAGGCGACGACGGGUAGCCGGCCUGAGAGGGCGAUCGGCCACACUGGGACUGAGACACGGCCCAGACUCCUACGGGAGGCAGCAGUGGGGAAUAUUGCACAAUGGGCGCAAGCCUGAUGCAGCGACGCCGCGUGAGGGAUGACGGCCUUCGGUUGGUAAACCUCUUUCAGCAGGGAGAAGCCUUUCGGGGUGACGGUACCUGCAGAAGAAGCGACCGGCUAACUACGUGCCAGCAGCCGCGGUAA